This 107-nucleotide small RNA is filed under the name Marmota monax (woodchuck). Lineage: Eukaryota; Metazoa; Chordata; Mammalia; Rodentia; Sciuridae. The record is from RNAcentral.
GCUGGGUGUGGUGGUGCACACCUGUAAGCCCAGCAACUUGGGAGGCCAAGGUAGGAGGAGUCCAAGAUUAAGGUCAGCCUGGGCAACUCAUUGAGACCCUGUCUCAA